CAUAGGGGUGAAAGGGUUAAGACGAAAUAAAUAAAAUAUAAUCAACAACAGUGUUUCGAGUGCAAACAAAAGCAGUGAAAUUAGACCCUGGACUUCAGAUUUACAUACUACAGUACCAGUAUAUCUCUCUAUCCGUUUGAGCUAGCUGGUCAACGGAAGUGUUCUCACCCAACUGUGCUACAGUUAUAUCCAAACGGAAGUUAAGGGGAGGUUACUGUAUAUAGGAAAACCAGUGCAGUUGGACAGGGAUCUUAAUAAAGAUAAAAAAGAAAAAGAAAUAAUCCCAAAAAUCCGGUUGGAUUGUAGGACAUAAGUAUAUAAGACUGGUGAUCGCUGGAUUAUCAAGGUUUGACUGCAGAUUAUCUAGGUUUGACUGCAGAUUAUCAAGGUUUGACUGCAGAUUAUCAAGGCUCAAAUAAAGAUUGAAGAGGCUUGACUAGAUUAUUGAGGCUGAACAUCACCAGGGCCGUCUUUGUUUAUCGCGAUCCAAACAGUCGGACCAGAGUUGUUUGUUUAUGAAAUGAGGUCAGACCUAGUAAUCUGAUACUUUUUUCAGACAAGCCUUGAUAAAGCCUUGCAAGGCCUGCAUGAACAUUUUGCAGGUCUGCCAGGAUUUAAACCCUAAAAUAUUACAUUUAAAAACAAACAGGUGGUUCCGCAUAAACAAACAGGUCCCAGGUACUCACAUUGAAAUUACUCUCUAAUGAUAAAAGUAUUUCAGCAUUUUCGAACUUUUAUCAUUCAGAAAAUAAAUUUUACAGUUCUUCACUUAUAUUUGUGUAUGAUGUCAUCAUGACUCACGUGUAUGGUGUUAGUGUUGUUAUGUAUGACUGUGUAAGUAUGGUAUCUAAUAACUUCAAAAUCAGUGUCUUUAUUUUUUUCCUUUUCCUUUUUCUGUAAUUCUUCUGUCUCUAUUUUUUUUUUAAAUGAAGUGAUAAUAACGUUCUUUUUCCACCCCCAUCUGUUACAUAUCUGUGACAUAUUGUAACGAGAAGUAUCAUGAUAUAUUCAUUGUUUCAAAGAAAAACUAAAUAUCAAUUCGUGAAUUUCCUUAUUUGAUAAUUUGUCAGUAUCUAUACAGCAUGCCUAAAGUUGGUUUCAUGUAAGUUAUACGGCUCGUUAAUUGAAGUGGGAUCUCAUACACUUUGUAAAAAUGAAACAAGACAUUCAGUAGAAACGACAAA
Mizuhopecten yessoensis (Yesso scallop) is the source of this 1184-nucleotide long non-coding RNA. RefSeq lists it as uncharacterized. The record is from RefSeq and is a predicted model, not a curated record. NCBI's taxonomy places the organism in Eukaryota, Metazoa, Mollusca, Bivalvia, Pectinida, Pectinidae. The transcript has 2 exons.